This 1471-nucleotide ribosomal RNA is filed under the name uncultured Akkermansia sp. RNAcentral's name for it is "bacterial SSU rRNA". It matches the Rfam family "Bacterial small subunit ribosomal RNA". The record is from RNAcentral. Lineage: Bacteria; Pseudomonadati; Verrucomicrobiota; Verrucomicrobiia; Verrucomicrobiales; Akkermansiaceae.
GUUUGAUCCUGGCUCAGAACGAACGCUGGCGGCGUGGAUAAGACAUGCAAGUCGAACGAGAGAAUUGCUAGCUUGCUAAUAAUUCUCUAGUGGCGCACGGGUGAGUAACACGUGAGUAACCUGCCCCCGAGAGCGGGAUAGCCCUGGGAAACUGGGAUUAAUACCGCAUAGUAUCGAAAGAUUAAAGCAGCAAUGCGCUUGGGGAUGGGCUCGCGGCCUAUUAGCUAGUUGGUGAGGUAACGGCUCACCAAGGCGAUGACGGGUAGCCGGUCUGAGAGGAUGUCCGGCCACACUGGAACUGAGACACGGUCCAGACACCUACGGGUGGCAGCAGUCGAGAAUCAUUCACAAUGGGGGAAACCCUGAUGGUGCGACGCCGCGUGGGGGAAUGAAGGUCUUCGGAUUGUAAACCCCUGUCAUGUGGGAGCAAAUUAAAAAGAUAGUACCACAAGAGGAAGAGACGGCUAACUCUGUGCCAGCAGCCGCGGUAAUACAGAGGUCUCAAGCGUUGUUCGGAAUCACUGGGCGUAAAGCGUGCGUAGGCUGUUUCGUAAGUCGUGUGUGAAAGGCGCGGGCUCAACCCGCGGACGGCACAUGAUACUGCGAGACUAGAGUAAUGGAGGGGGAACCGGAAUUCUCGGUGUAGCAGUGAAAUGCGUAGAUAUCGAGAGGAACACUCGUGGCGAAGGCGGGUUCCUGGACAUUAACUGACGCUGAGGCACGAAGGCCAGGGGAGCGAAAGGGAUUAGAUACCCCUGUAGUCCUGGCAGUAAACGGUGCACGCUUGGUGUGCGGGGAAUCGACCCCCUGCGUGCCGGAGCUAACGCGUUAAGCGUGCCGCCUGGGGAGUACGGUCGCAAGAUUAAAACUCAAAGAAAUUGACGGGGACCCGCACAAGCGGUGGAGUAUGUGGCUUAAUUCGAUGCAACGCGAAGAACCUUACCUGGGCUUGACAUGUAAUGAACAACAUGUGAAAGCAUGCGACUCUUCGGAGGCGUUACACAGGUGCUGCAUGGCCGUCGUCAGCUCGUGUCGUGAGAUGUUUGGUUAAGUCCAGCAACGAGCGCAACCCCUGUUGCCAGUUACCAGCACGUGAAGGUGGGGACUCUGGCGAGACUGCCCAGAUCAACUGGGAGGAAGGUGGGGACGACGUCAGGUCAGUAUGGCCCUUAUGCCCAGGGCUGCACACGUACUACAAUGCCCAGUACAGAGGGGGCCGAAGCCGCGAGGCGGAGGAAAUCCUAAAAACUGGGCCCAGUUCGGACUGUAGGCUGCAACCCGCCUACACGAAGCCGGAAUCGCUAGUAAUGGCGCAUCAGCUACGGCGCCGUGAAUACGUUCCCGGGUCUUGUACACACCGCCCGUCACAUCAUGGAAGCCGGUCGCACCCGAAGUAUCUGAAGCCAACCGCAAGGAGGCAGGGUCCUAAGGUGAGACUGGUAACUGGGAUGAAGUCGUAACAAGGUAGCCG